UUCAGAUUGGCCGAGUGGUUAAGGCGCUAGAUUUAAGAUCUUGUAGGAGGGAGCGUGGGUUCGAAUCACACAUCUGAAA
Molecule: non-coding RNA, 79 nt
Organism: Schistocerca serialis cubense
Lineage: Eukaryota; Metazoa; Arthropoda; Insecta; Orthoptera; Acrididae
Source: the annotation of a RefSeq genome assembly